Molecule: ribosomal RNA, 759 nt
Filed under: uncultured bacterium
Lineage: Bacteria
Description: bacterial SSU rRNA
Rfam family: Bacterial small subunit ribosomal RNA
Source: RNAcentral
AUUGAACGCUGGCGGCAGGCUUAACACAUGCAAGUCGAACGGUAACGGGUUGGAAGCUUGCUUUCAAUGCUGACGAGUGGCGGACGGGUGAGUAAGGCUUGGGGAUCUGGCUUUUGGAGGGGGAUAACCAUUGGAAACGAUGGCUAAUACCGCAUAGGAUCGAGAGAUGAAAGGGGUGGUUUAUGCCACUUGCCAAGGGAUGAACCCAAGUGAGAUUAGGUAGUUGGUGGGGUAAAGGCCUACCAAGCCGACGAUCUCUAGCUGGUCUGAGAGGAUGGCCAGCCACACUGGGACUGAGACACGGCCCAGACUCCUACGGGAGGCAGCAGUGGGGAAUAUUGCGCAAUGGGGGGAACCCUGACGCAGCCAUGCCGCGUGAAUGAAGAAGGCCUUCGGGUUGUAAAGUUCUUUCGGUGGUGAGGAAGGCGGUAGUGUUAAUAGCGCUAUUGUUUGACGUUAGCCACAGAAGAAGCACCGGCUAACUCCGUGCCAGCAGCCGCGGUAAUACGGAGGGUGCGAGCGUUAAUCGGAAUAACUGGGCGUAAAGGGCACGCAGGCGGGACGUUAAGUGAGAUGUGAAAGCCCCGGGCUUAACCUGGGAACAGCAUUUCAUACUGGCGUACUAGAGUACUUUAGGGAGGGGUAGAAUUCCACGUGUAGCGGUGAAAUGCGUAGAGAUGUGGAGGAAUACCGAAGGCGAAGGCAGCCCCUUGGGAAGAUACUGACGCUCAUGUGCGAAAGCNGUGGGGAGCAAACAGG